This 323-nucleotide unclassified non-coding RNA is filed under the name soil metagenome. RNAcentral describes it as "partial contains 5.8S ribosomal RNA, internal transcribed spacer 2, and large subunit ribosomal RNA". The stretch from base 1 to 120 matches the Rfam family "5.8S ribosomal RNA", at positions 35 to 154 of the family's 154-position model. The record is from RNAcentral.
GAUGAAGAACGCAGCGAAAUGCGAUAAGUAGUGUGAAUUGCAGAAUUCAGUGAAUCAUCGAAUCUUUGAACGCACAUUGCGCCCUGUGGUAUUCCGCAGGGCAUGCCUGUUCGAGCGUCAUUUCAACCCUCAAGCUCUGCUUGGUGUUGGGCCCUGCCCGCUGCGGCCGGCCCUAAAGACAGUGGCGGUGCCGCCUGGCCCUGAGCGUAGUACAUCUCUCGCUCCAGUGCCCGGUGGUAGCCUGCCAGAACCCCAACUCUCGUGGUUGACCUCGGAUCAGGUAGGGAUACCCGCUGAACUUAAGCAUAUCAAUAAGCGGAGGA